AGUGAAAUGGCUGAGGUAAGGCACUAGACUGUAGAUCUAGCUACGAGGACAACCCUCUUUCACUA
Molecule: transfer RNA, 65 nt
Filed under: Magelona mirabilis
Lineage: Eukaryota; Metazoa; Annelida; Polychaeta; Spionida; Magelonidae
Description: tRNA-Tyr
Rfam family: tRNA
About the family: Transfer RNA (tRNA) molecules are approximately 80 nucleotides in length. Their secondary structure includes four short double-helical elements and three loops (D, anti-codon, and T loops).
Source: RNAcentral